This 78-nucleotide transfer RNA is filed under the name Mycobacterium sp. RNAcentral's name for it is "tRNA-Ile". Lineage: Bacteria; Bacillati; Actinomycetota; Actinomycetes; Mycobacteriales; Mycobacteriaceae. The record is from RNAcentral. RNAcentral also lists the same sequence under 1 other name.
CGAGCGUGAACAGGCGCAACAUGCCAGCCCCAUUUGCUGGGGGUCAAGUGGUCGCAGGUUCAAAUCCUGUCAGCUCGA